This 2516-nucleotide long non-coding RNA is filed under the name Oryzias javanicus (javanese ricefish). Its description in RNAcentral is "lncRNA (ENSOJAG00000002394.1)". The record is from RNAcentral. Lineage: Eukaryota; Metazoa; Chordata; Actinopteri; Beloniformes; Adrianichthyidae.
AUGAUAAACAAACUUGUGGAUUUAGGAACUGCCCAUCUAUUCAUGCGGAUGCAGGAGAAAAACAGGGGAAAGUGCGGGAACCUUUUGAAAACAGCAACCAAGAGAAUUGUCCAUUUGCGGUUUAAGCUGCAACUUUUGUUCCAGCCACACAGAGACUACCACAGCUCUGGUGUCAGGAGUCAACAACAGGCGCAGUUAGACGAGGUCAUGCUGUCAGAACAUCUGGGGAACUUGAACAGCUUUGGAUCGGUUGCAGAGUCAGCAAGACAACAUUUGGUUGUGUCUGCCAAUCGUCUCCUGCGGUUUGAGGAUGAAACAGAAAAAGAGGUGGAGACUCGUUAUUUGGAACGUUGGAGCCAAAGGAGACAGGAAAUGCAGCGGAGAGCAGGAGUCCUGGUGUCCAAACCCGACUUAGAGAGUUUGAAAGCAGGACUGGAGCUCAGACAGGGGAAGUCUCCUGCUGUCGGGAGGCUGAGAGGACAAACAGUGAUGAGAGAAUUGGGUAAGAUUAACCCUGGUGUGAGAGUGUCAGGGGGAGGAGUCAUACUAGACCUGAGCCUUAAUGAAGACCCUCCUAUGAUUGAAGAGAGACAGAAGAGCCUAAACAGGAAGCAACUGAGGCUGCGGACAGAGCCGCUCAGAGAGACCUACAUCGGCUGUGUCACGCCUUCUGACACAGGGAGACAAGGAGAAAAGACUUGUCGGGAAUCGUGUGCCCAAGUGAGACAAAGGACCACUCACAGUGAAAUGUUUGGAUCUCCGCAGACCGCCUCACAACCUCUUCUACUCAUAGAUCCACCAACAGGUUCUGAAUCCUCCUGCAGUGAUGCUCCACACGUUCAUGUUUCAUGCUCUCCCUCAUUCAGACGACCUUUGUCUUUAUCCAGUCCUUCUAAAACAUCAGUGAUGCCACAGAGGAACGCGUCCAAUUCAAGGAAGCAGGGAAAGGACUUGAACCAGAAUCAAGACAGACAAAGGACACCUUCCUGUCAAAGGGUCCACAGACAUCUUGGAACCGGGCCAGAGCUCAUGGAGAAGGUCCCUUUUCUGGAGAAGAAAAGCCGUGAACCGAACCCUGCUGCCAGACCCUCCUCAUCAGGAACGAGUUUGGAGAUGAAAGCAGGUAAUCAAACUCCUCCUGCUCUGGCCAUCAGGGACGGAUCCUCCACGAAAUCACUGAGAUCCGAGUUUCCCACAGAGGAGGACUCACAUUCUGAGCGCAGACAGAGCAGGAGUCGAACCCGCAGUCUGGAUCGGCUUCCUUCAAAGACCCAACCUCCCGUCAGCGGUCCAACCCAUUUAGGAGACCUGAGGUCCUGCGGCUUUCUGAAGACCCCCCCCUCUGUUCGGUGGUUCUGUGAGGUAUGUCUGCAACUGACUCCCAACAACAGCUCGACGGAGGUUUCAGUCUGACUGUCUGUCUGCUUCUCUGCAGGGCUCAAACAUCUUCCCAAUGACCAAGUUCUCCUCUGUUUUCAAUGUUUGGUCAGAACAGAACUGCUCCACUGACGGCAGAUCAGCUGAUGACCACUGAGCACUUCCUGUUAACCCUUUAACAGAGCAGUUCCGGUCUUUAUGUUCUUUGAUAUACUGUAGAUUGUGAAUGAGAAAAGCGGCUAAUGCCGGAGUCAUAAAUAAACGUUGUGAAAUGUUCGUAUUAAUUCGAUUUUGACUUUGUGAAAUCUGAGACGUCAUAUCCGGCGUUUAAAAUCCAGGGCACUAGAUAGUUCUGCACUAUAUAGUUUUUUAGUAGUUAGAGGGGAAUUCAGACACAACCAUAGAGAUUGAAGUUGUUUCUUACUCUGUUUACAUUCCCAUAAUGCUGCUUUGAUCCAGUUGUUCUGAUCCGAGCAUGGAGUCUAUUCAGACUGAGGAAACUCGGAGUGAACCUGAGCUCAGUCCGAUUGGAAACGAAUCGAAACUACCUCAAACGAUGGGUCCGAGAGCGGCUCCUGGUCCCGCAUCAGGGUCCGCUUGGGUGUAAUCAUGCUGAAAACAAACUGAUUCACUUUAAGCAAACCAAAUGUGACAUCCUAAAUGUUGAUAAAAUACAUAAAAAACCUUUAAAAUAUUGAAAUCGUGUAACACAAGAUAGAUAGAGGAUUUUGUCUGCAGAACAAAGCCAGAGAAGUGAAGAACGCCACCGUGAGUCUAGAACAGAACAUAAACAUUCUGAAAUUGUAUUUCUAUACCGGGCAAUCCUCUGCCGAGGUUUGGGUUUGACGGUGGCAUAAAGGAUUGAUGCUUGUCAGAUUGCAAGUGUGAAGUUCAGUGAUGGGAAAACUGACUGACUGGAAGAAGAAUCCUGUCAGUCAUCUACUGACCCAGAAGCUGCAGGAUGAGCACACCAAAACUCUUCAAAACAUGAGAUCUUGCAAGUCUGUUCCAGAACUGAACGAGCAGCACAUUUAUCUGUAUCUCAUUAGUGUUUGUUUUUAAUCUGUACAUAUUCAUAAAUGGGUUUAUUUUUGUGUUUUUGGGGAUUUUAUGCUCACAGAAACACCUAACAGUCCCAC